RNAcentral lists this ribosomal RNA (469 nucleotides) under uncultured bacterium. RNAcentral's name for it is "partial 16S ribosomal RNA". It matches the Rfam family "Bacterial small subunit ribosomal RNA", at positions 28 to 507 of the family's 1533-position model. The record is from RNAcentral.
AACGAACGUUGGCGGCGUGGAUUAGGCAUGCAAGUCGAACGCGAAUCCCUGGGCAACUGGGGAGGAGAGUGGCGAAAGGGGCAGUAAGGCGUGGGUAACCUACCCUCCGGGCCGGGAUAGCUUCGGGAAACUCAAGGUAAUACCGGGCGACGCAGCGAGAUCGCAUGGUCUUGCUGCCAAAGGUCCGCCGCCGGGGGAGGGGCUCACGUGGUAUUAGCUAGACGGCGGGGUAACGGCCCACCGUGGCAAAGAUGCCUAGCAGGUGUGAGAGCACGACCUGCGCCACUGGCACUGAGACACUGGCCAGACACCUACGGGUGGCUGCAGUCGAGGAUCUUCGGCAAUGGGCGCAAGCCUGACCGAGCGACGCCGCGUGUGCGAUGAAGGCCUUCGGGUUGUAAAGCACUGUCGAGGGGGAGGAAGCCGCAAGGUUGACCUAUCCCUGGAGGAAGCACGGGCUAAGUUCGUG